Molecule: ribosomal RNA, 900 nt
Filed under: uncultured archaeon
Lineage: Archaea
Description: partial 16S ribosomal RNA
Rfam family: Archaeal small subunit ribosomal RNA
Source: RNAcentral
GUUCGAGAGAGACCGCUAUCCGGGUCCGACUAAGCCAUGCGAGUCUAGGUGCCUGGAUGUUGGCACCUGGCGAACUGCUGAGUAACACCUUGCCAACCUACCCUGAGGAGGGGAAUGAGCCCGGGAAACUGGGGACAAUUCCCCAUAGGAGCCCAGGCCUGGAAUGGUUGGGCUCUGAAAGGCUUUGUGCAGAAGCACAGAGCGCCUCGGGAUGGGGCUGGGUCCUAUCAGGUCGUUGGUGAGGUAAAGGCUCACCAAGCCUAAGACGGGUAGGGGCCAUGGAAGUGGGAGCCCCCAGAUGGGUUCUGAGACAUGAACCCAGGGUCUACGGACCGCAGCAGGCGCGAAAAUUUCGCAAUGCGCGCAAGCGCGACGAAGGGACCUGGAGUGCCAAUCCUUCGGGGUUGGCUUUUCCCCAGUGUAAAAAGCUGGGGGAAUAAGGGGUGGGUAAGACGGGUGGCAGCCGCCACGGUAAUACCCGCGCCCCAAGUGGUCCUCACGAUUAUUGGGCUUAAAGGGUCCGUAGCGGGCCUUGCAAGUUCCUGGUGAAAUCUCGCAGCAAACUGCGAGGCUGGCCAGGAAUACUGUGAGGCUUGGGACCGGGAGAGGCCAGGGGUACUCUGGGGGUAGGGGUGAAAUCCGUUAAUCCCCAGGGGACCGCCAGUGGCGAAGGCGCCUGGCCAGAACGGGUCCGACCGUGAGGGACGAAACCCAGGGGAGCGAAGGGGAUUAGAUACCCCUGUAGUCCUGGGCGUAAACGAUGCUCACUAGCUGUGGGGGAAGCUGAAGGCUUUCCCUGCGGCGUAGCGAAAGCGUUAAGUGAGCCGCCUGGGGAGUACGGCCGAAAGGCUGAAACUUAAAGGAAUUGACGGGAGACACACAAGGGGUGGGCUCUCGGCU